Transfer RNA from Chlorocebus sabaeus (green monkey), 64 nucleotides. It matches the Rfam family "tRNA". Rfam says of the family: Transfer RNA (tRNA) molecules are approximately 80 nucleotides in length. Their secondary structure includes four short double-helical elements and three loops (D, anti-codon, and T loops). The record is from Rfam. Lineage: Eukaryota; Metazoa; Chordata; Mammalia; Primates; Cercopithecidae.
GUGGAUAUAGUCUGCAUUUGACUGCAAAUUAAAGAGGUCUCUGGUUCAAAUCCAGAUGUCCCCU